Oncorhynchus tshawytscha (Chinook salmon) is the source of this 1789-nucleotide long non-coding RNA. RefSeq lists it as uncharacterized. The record is from RefSeq and is a predicted model, not a curated record. The transcript has 3 exons. Lineage: Eukaryota; Metazoa; Chordata; Actinopteri; Salmoniformes; Salmonidae.
CUUUUGCCUUUUGGUAGGCCGUCAUUGUAAAUAAGAAUUUGUUCUUAACUGACUUGCCUAGUUAAAUAAAUAAAUUAAAUGGAGAACCUAAGAAUGCAGAUUGAAGGUCAGUUGUUUCCACAAGAUGGCACUGUCUGCCAUGGACAUGGUCCUCAAAUGAAGGGUAUUCAGUUAUGAGCAAUGGCGUCAUUGUCAUUUUAAUUAUGCCUUGCAUGAUGAUAACAUUUUUAAGUCAAAUUUACAUCAUUAUGGUGGCAAGUUACUCUGAUGUUUGAAUUAUGAACACACAAUGCCACUCUGUUCAUUUAGGUGGUUUAAUGAAAUCCCUCAUAGUAAGCAUCGUUACUAAUUUUGCUCGGAAUUCAAAGUUACCAUGGUGCUUGUGUUAAUUAGCUCCAUAUUAAGUGGUGCAGUCUGAACUCUAGAUGAAAGAUGGAGCAGAGAGGACCCAGAGCACAGAGCAUCCCCUGAGCGGAGCAUAGAGGACCCAGAGCACAGAGCAUCCCCUGAGCGGAGCAUAGAGGACCCAGAGCACAGAGCAUCCCCUGAGCGGAGCAUAGAGGAGUUUCUUACCAGGGGGGAGAAGAGGAGAGCCACCCUCAGCAGUGGAAGUGUUUUGAAAGAGGAAGAUGAUGACGAUCAACCAGAGAAUGAUAUACCACCACAUUUCCUCACAAUUCCUGACCUCCCUCCCUCACUUCUGCCCCCUCCCCCUAGUGGAUCGAAAGUCUGGCUGAACUGAAUGGGGUUAACUAAAGGAGAUUCACCAUUUUAUUUCUCAAAAGUUCCAUUUGGUGAUGCAAGAAUUGAUCAUUUAUUUUUAUUAAGCCUCAAACUUUUACUUGAUGAAGGUGAGGGUAUUUUUUUUAAUCUUCAUAUUUGAAUUGAGUUUCUUCAUUAGUCUACAUUAGUCUUAUGAGUUAUUUGCAUGCAGACUUGUUGAGGAAGUCCUUGGAUUUAAGAAAAUGGAUUAUGAAUUAUACAUUUGCAGAAUGUGAGGUUGUAAUGCUUUUGAAAUGAUGACCUCAGGAAAGCAGAGGUACUGGAGUGGCAACCACAUUUAGAAAAAAACUAUAUGUGCUUUCUUUCCCUCCACCUAUUCUUUAUGAUGAAAAAGUGGUUUGUGUAUUUUGGGAAGAUUUAUUUUGAGUGGAUGGAUGUUACAACUUUACCUCAUCACUGAUGUUGGCCACAUGCACAAAAGAUGGUGUCCAUAUUUGUAAAAACAUAUUUUUUGUGUCCCUAUCUUCAGGUAAUAAAAUAGUGUUUCCCCACGUUUCAUUUGUAGGGGAUAAUAGAACAAGUGCUAUUCAGGACCUUACUUCAGUGUGUAAUUGGAGCCCUGUCAGUAUGUGCCACACAACUGAGGGCCAGAUCAGACCGUGCCUUGGCAGGAUGUCACAUCACCAUGUGACGGCGACCCUUUGCCGGCAUCAUCUGCCGCUCCUGUGACACUGACACAGAUUAAAACCCAAACCGCUACACCCUAGAAUAACAUUUUCAAUUUGUUUCAGAUUGGCUCUGAGGGAGAUGCCAGGACAGGGAUACUUUGCUGGUUGGUUGACCAGCAGUGACCUUAGCCACCUCCAAUGAGAAGUUGCUGUGCUGAAUACUGAGUCCAUUCCCUGCUGAAAUGUGACACAUUAACAACUGUCUCUCUAGGCUCCGCAAGAGAAUUACAAGCAGAGUCCCAAUGUACGAGUGGCACAGCGGUCUAAGGCAAUGAAUCUCAGUGCAAGAGUUGUCACUACAGUCCUUGGUUCGAAUCCAGGCUGUAUCACCUCUGGCC